AUUGAACGCUGGCGGCAGGCUUAACACAUGCAAGUCGAGCGAGCGGGGGACGGGUGAGUAAAGUCUGGGAAACUGCCUGAUGGAGGGGGAUAACUACUGGAAACGGUAGCUAAAACCGCAUACCAUUUGCUGUGCCCAGAUGGGAUUUGCUAGUUGGGGGGGUAAAGGCUCACCUAGGCGACGAUCCCUAGCUGGUCUGAGAGGAUGACCAGCCACACUGGAACUGAGACACGGUCCAGACUCCUACGGGAGUCAGCAGUGGGGAAGAUUGCACAAUGGGCGCAAGCCUGAUGCAGCCAUGCCGCGUGAAUGAAGAAGGCCUUCGGGUUGUAAAGUUCUUUCGGUAGCGAGGCGUUAACUACAGAAGAAGCACCGGCUAACUCCGUGCCAGCAGCCGCGGUAAUUC
This 406-nucleotide ribosomal RNA is filed under the name uncultured bacterium. RNAcentral describes it as "partial 16S ribosomal RNA". It matches the Rfam family "Bacterial small subunit ribosomal RNA", at positions 30 to 526 of the family's 1533-position model. The record is from RNAcentral.